RNAcentral lists this ribosomal RNA (568 nucleotides) under fuel tank bacterium 25. RNAcentral describes it as "bacterial SSU rRNA". It matches the Rfam family "Bacterial small subunit ribosomal RNA", at positions 337 to 894 of the family's 1533-position model. The record is from RNAcentral.
UCCUACGGGGAGGCAGCAGUAGGGAAUCUUCCGCAAUGGACGAAAGUCUGACGGAGCAACGCCGCGUGAGUGAUGAAGGUUUUCGGAUCGUAAAGCUCUGUUGUUAGGGAAGAACAAGUACCGUUCGAAUAGGGCGGUACCUUGACGGUACCUAACCAGAAAGCCACGGCUAACUACGUGCCAGCAGCCGCGGUAAUACGUAGGUGGCAAGCGUUGUCCGGAAUUAUUGGGCGUAAAGGGCUCGCAGGCGGUUUCUUAAGUCUGAUGUGAAAGCCCCCGGCUCAACCGGGGAGGGUCAUUGGAAACUGGGGAACUUGAGUGCAGAAGAGGAGAGUGGAAUUCCACGUGUAGCGGUGAAAUGCGUAGAGAUGUGGAGGAACACCAGUGGCGAAGGCGACUCUCUGGUCUGUAACUGACGCUGAGGAGCGAAAGCGUGGGGAGCGAACAGGAUUAGAUACCCUGGUAGUCCACGCCGUAAACGAUGAGUGCUAAGUGUUAGGGGGUUUCCGCCCCUUAGUGCUGCAGCUAACGCAUUAAGCACUCCGCCUGGGGAGUACGGUCGCAAGNA